Molecule: ribosomal RNA, 253 nt
Filed under: uncultured bacterium
Lineage: Bacteria
Description: partial 16S ribosomal RNA
Rfam family: Bacterial small subunit ribosomal RNA
Source: RNAcentral
UACGUAGGGGGCAAGCGUUGUCCGGAUUUAUUGGGCGUAAAGAGCGUGUAGGCGGCUAGGUAGGUUCGUUGUGAAAACUCGAGGCUCAACCUCGAGACGCCGGUGGAAACCAUCUAGCUAGAGUCCGGAAGAGGAGAGUGGAAUUCCUGGUGUAGCGGUGAAAUGCGCAGAUAUCAGGAAGAACACCCGUGGCGAAGGCGGCUCUCUGGUACGUGACUGACGCUGAGACGCGAAAGCGUGGGGAGCGAACAGG